GAUGAACGCUGGCGGCGUGCCUAAUACAUGCAAGUCGAGCGAACAGACGAGGAGCUUGCUCCUCUGACGUUAGCGGCGGACGGGUGAGUAACACGUGGAUAACCUACCUAUAAGACUGGGAUAACUUCGGGAAACCGGAGCUAAUACCGGAUAACAUGUUGAACCGCAUGGUUCAACAGUGAAAGACGGUCUUGCUGUCACUUAUAGAUGGAUCCGCGCCGCAUUAGCUAGUUGGUAAGGUAACGGCUUACCAAGGCAACGAUGCGUAGCCGACCUGAGAGGGUGAUCGGCCACACUGGAACUGAGACACGGUCCAGACUCCUACGGGAGGCAGCAGUAGGGAAUCUUCCGCAAUGGGCGAAAGCCUGACGGAGCAACGCCGCGUGAGUGAAGAAGGUCUUCGGAUCGUAAAACUCUGUUAUUAGGGAAGAACAAAUGUGUAAGUAACUAUGCACGUCUUGACGGUACCUGAUCAGAAAGCCACGGCUAACUACGUG
RNAcentral lists this ribosomal RNA (497 nucleotides) under uncultured bacterium. Its description in RNAcentral is "partial 16S ribosomal RNA". It matches the Rfam family "Bacterial small subunit ribosomal RNA", at positions 28 to 507 of the family's 1533-position model. The record is from RNAcentral.